Molecule: small nucleolar RNA, 92 nt
Filed under: Setaria italica (foxtail millet)
Lineage: Eukaryota; Viridiplantae; Streptophyta; Magnoliopsida; Poales; Poaceae
Also listed under: 1 other name
Description: Small nucleolar RNA R24
Rfam family: Small nucleolar RNA R24
About the family: snoR24 is a C/D box small nucleolar RNA which acts as a methylation guide for 18S ribosomal RNA in plants.
Source: Rfam by way of RNAcentral
GUAGCUAUGAUGAGCCAUAACUUGUAAGAAGGCCAACUGAUCAACUGGUUCUUCAAUGAAAUAUAAGCUGAUACGCUUGGCUUCUGAGCUGA